RNAcentral lists this transfer RNA (72 nucleotides) under Micromonosporaceae bacterium. RNAcentral's name for it is "tRNA-Lys". It matches the Rfam family "tRNA". From Rfam's summary of the family: Transfer RNA (tRNA) molecules are approximately 80 nucleotides in length. Their secondary structure includes four short double-helical elements and three loops (D, anti-codon, and T loops). Lineage: Bacteria; Bacillati; Actinomycetota; Actinomycetes; Micromonosporales; Micromonosporaceae. The record is from RNAcentral.
GCCGCCGGCGCCUGACGGUCGGGCUCCUGACUUUUAAUCAGGACUGCGGAGGUUCGACUCCUCUCGGCGGCA